Molecule: ribosomal RNA, 491 nt
Filed under: uncultured bacterium
Lineage: Bacteria
Description: partial 16S ribosomal RNA
Rfam family: Bacterial small subunit ribosomal RNA
Source: RNAcentral
AGUGAACGCUGGCGGUAGGCCUAACACAUGCAAGUCGAACGGCAGCACAGUAAGAGCUUGCUCUUACGGGUGGCGAGUGGCGGACGGGUGAGGAAUACAUCGGAAUCUACUUUUUCGUGGGGGAUAACGUAGGGAAACUUACGCUAAUACCGCAUACGACCUACGGGUGAAAGCAGGGGAUCUUCGGACCUUGCGCAAUUGAAUGAGCCGAUGUCGGAUUAGCUAGUUGGCGGGGUAAGGCCCACCAAGGCGACGAUCCGUAGCUGGUCUGAGAGGAUGAUCAGCCACACUGGAACUGAGACACGGUCCAGACUCCUACGGGAGGCAGCAGUGGGGAAUAUUGGACAAUGGGCGCAAGCCUGAUCCAGCCAUACCGCGUGGGUGAAGAAGGCCUUCGGGUUGUAAAGCCCUUUUGUUGGGAAAGAAAAGCAGCAGGUUAAUACCCCGCUGUUCUGACGGUACCCAAAGAAUAAGCACCGGCUAACUUCGUG